CAUACCAAGUACUCAUGAAUUCAACAUUCGCUGUCUUGGUACCAGACCCUAUAUCGGUACCAUCCUAUUAUAGUGUAAGGAUACGGUACAGUACAAGAUGGCAAGGUGACCAAGUGUUUGUAUGAUACGAGGCUGCAUACCAGUUUAAUACUGGUAUGGUACGGUAUGUCCUAUACAGUACCAACCGAUAUGGUGAACCUUGCAUGAAUUCUCUAAGUUUAAGUGGAAGAAGUUUUCUAUGGUAAUGUUAAUUUUCAAGAGGGUCUAUUUACAGGUUAUUCUACAGAAUGUUUUUGAGAAAAGGUAGGAGGAG
This 313-nucleotide long non-coding RNA is filed under the name Elaeis guineensis (African oil palm). Its description in RNAcentral is "long non-coding RNA (EGUI_LNC018227)". The record is from RNAcentral. Lineage: Eukaryota; Viridiplantae; Streptophyta; Magnoliopsida; Arecales; Arecaceae.